AUUAUUUAAAUUGUAUUAAUUAGGUAUCUACUUGAAUACUUAAUAUUAUAAAUACCAGUUUUCAAAUCAAAAAGUUUAUAUAGAUUAAAGCUUGGCUCUGACUUCAAGCAUGAUAAAGAACUAAAAAAUACACAUGGUUUUUAUAGAAGGAGGCGAGGUGAAAAAAAAACAUAUAAAUAAUAAAAAUUGAUAACUGUUUCUUCUUUAAGGUAUUAUAGAAUUAGAUAAUAUUUUGAAAUGUCCCGCUAACACCAGUGCUGAAGGUUAAAAAAAAAGUGCAAGCUUGGAUUAAUUUAGUUCACAAAAUCUGGUUAACUUGGUGCCAGCAUCCGCGGUUAAACCAAGAAGAUUAAGUCAUGCAUUUUUGGUAAAAAGACAGUUAAGCAGCACAAAAAGUUUGUUUAAUCAUUAUUGAGAAGUAAAAUUCGCAAAUAAUCUAGAGAUUUGAUCAAAACUAAAAAGCUGAAGCUGUGACAUCCUUAAGGGAAACUGGGAUUAGAUACCCCAUUAUUCUUGGAUAUAAAAAAUAUGGAUUUACCAGAGUACUAUGGAUCGAUGACAUUUAAAACUCAAAGAGCUUGGCGGUGUUUUAGACUCUUUAGCGGGAACCUGUCUCAUAAUCGACAAUCCACGCAAGACCUGACCUUUAUUUGCUUUCAGUUUGUAUACCGUCGUCGUCAGGUAACUUUUUAGAAAAAAGAAGUUAGCAAUUGAGCUUUUAAUAAGCUCUUACGUCAGAUCAAGGUGCAGCCAACAUAAAGGGGAGGAUGGGUUACAAUUAUAAGAAUCAUAACUACGGAAUGGCUGUUUUGAAUAGCAGCCAUGAAGGAGGACUUAAAAGUAAAAUAAAAUAUAUAAAUGUAUUGAAUUCAGCUCUGAAACGUGCACACAUCGCCCGUCGCUCUCGUUGAAAAACGAGAUAAGUCGUAACAUAGCAGGGGUAAUGGAAAUUGCCCCUAAAUU
Molecule: ribosomal RNA, 963 nt
Filed under: Reishia clavigera
Lineage: Eukaryota; Metazoa; Mollusca; Gastropoda; Neogastropoda; Muricidae
Description: 12S ribosomal RNA
Rfam family: Microsporidia small subunit ribosomal RNA (bases 250-963)
Source: RNAcentral